AACGAACGCUGGCGGCAGGCUUAACACAUGCAAGUCGAACGAGCUGGGAACUUCGGUUCCCGAUGCUAGUGGCGCACGGGUGAGUAACACGUGGGAACGUACCCUUUAGUACGGAAUAACUCAGGGAAACUUGAGCUAAUACCGUAUGACUCCUUCGGGAGAAAGAUUUAUCGCUAAAGGAACGGCCCGCGUCUGAUUAGGUAGUUGGUAGGGUAACGGCCUACCAAGCCGACGAUCAGUAGCUGGUCUGAGAGGAUGAUCAGCCACACUGGGACUGAGACACGGCCCAGACUCCUACGGGAGGCAGCAGUGGGGAAUAUUGGACAAUGGGGGCAACCCUGCUCCAGCCAUGCCGCGUGAGUGAAGAAGGCCUUCGGGUUGUAAAGCUCUUUCGACGGGACGAUGAUGACGGUACCCGUAUAAGAUGCCCCGGCAAACUUCGUGCCAGCCGCCGCGGUAA
Molecule: ribosomal RNA, 460 nt
Filed under: uncultured bacterium
Lineage: Bacteria
Description: partial 16S ribosomal RNA
Rfam family: Bacterial small subunit ribosomal RNA
Source: RNAcentral